This 477-nucleotide ribosomal RNA is filed under the name uncultured bacterium. Its description in RNAcentral is "partial 16S ribosomal RNA". It matches the Rfam family "Bacterial small subunit ribosomal RNA", at positions 28 to 507 of the family's 1533-position model. The record is from RNAcentral.
GAUGAACGCUGGCGGCGUGCCUAAUACAUGCAAGUCGAACGGACAGACGCGGAGCUUGCUCCUCUGACGUUAGCGGCGGACGGGUGAGUCACACGUGGAUCACCUCCCUAUCAUACUGAGAUCACUUCGGGAAACCGGAGCUAAUACCGGAUAAUAUAUUGAACCGCAUGGUUCAUUGGUGAAAGACGGUUUUGCUGUCGGUUGGGGAUGGAUUCGCGCCGCAUUAGCUAGUUGGUGGGGUCGAGGCUUAACAAGGCAACGAUGGGUAGCCGGCCUGAGAGGGUGAACGGCCACAUUGGGACUGAGAUACGGCCCAGACGCCUACGGGAGGCAGCAGUGGGGAAUAUUGCACAAUGGGCGGAAGCCUGAUGCAGCAACGCCGCGUGCGGGAAGACGGCCUUCGGGUUGUAAACCGCUUUCGCCUGUGACGAAGCGUGAGUGACGGUAAUGGGUAAAGAAGCACCGGCUAACUACGUG